AUGGACGCUGUGUUUAUACCUUCUGCCAGCCCUCUGGGUUUAUCUUGUGGAUCUAUUCUCAUGGAGUCGGUUGAGCUAUCCAGCACAUCACUGGCUGAAGCAAUGUUCGAGAAACUCGGUCUUCCUAAACCAGUGUAUUUUGUGCAUCAUCUUUCACAAGAUCGAUUUAGAACAGAGAUUCAAUUUCACCGCACAAAAGCACGGUACGAUGCUUCAGCGCGCCGGACUAAAGUAUCAAGCCGUACAUGUCAGAAUGGGGUAGCAUCAAUGAAUCAUGCACUCGAUAAGGCCAUCGAAUACAUGCAGAACAGAGAGGGUAAGGUGCUUGUGGACUAUAACUAUUAUCAGCUAGAGCAAAUGAAAAUGGCACAUACAAGAUUAUCAACCAGGUUGCCAGAACAGUCAGAUGAAAUCAACCAGCACAUCAAAACCAUCAAGCAGAUAACUAAAGAAGCAUGCAACUAUGUGGAACAAGUGCGCAAUGCAUCAAACAGAAUACAAGACCUUGCUGCCGUUUUCUUGGACCCUGCUACCUCAAUGUGUGUUUCUAAUAUGAAGCAAGCUAUCAUGGAGAUUCACAGUUCAAUUGUCGUGCUUCAAAGCUCUACAACUACGACAUCUCGGUUCCUAGAGGAAAAAGGCAUGUACUCAGAUGAUGAAGUGCCUGAACAAAGCUACAGUGGUCACUUAGAUGAAGAUUCAGCCGAUGAUAUUCAUCAACACCUGGAUGAUGACUAUGUCCCAUCGCCAUGA
This 753-nucleotide ribosomal RNA is filed under the name Triticum aestivum (bread wheat). RNAcentral's name for it is "partial small subunit ribosomal RNA". The record is from RNAcentral. Lineage: Eukaryota; Viridiplantae; Streptophyta; Magnoliopsida; Poales; Poaceae.